AUACAGUUAAAGAUUUCUAACUGGAUUGACAUUUUAAAUUGGCAGUGUUGUGAAGGAGAAGGCCACUAGCACCUGGUGGGAAGAAGCCUGGGCGCUACAGACUGACCAUCCUACAGCACACACACAGGGAAGCUCACCUAAGAGCUGACUAGCUCCGUCAAACACUACAGGCCACACAGACUGACCAUCCUACAGCACACACACAGGCAAGCUCACCUAAGAGCUGACUAGCUCCGUCAAACACUACAGGCCACACAGACUGACCAUCCUACAGCACACACACAGGCAAGCUCAACUAAGAGCUGACUAGCUCUGUCAAACACUAUAGGCCAGAGACACUGUGUGCAUUCUUGUUUGUGUGUCAGUCUUAAAGAAGAGCUGAUAUCUGAGUUCCACGUUAGGCAGAUUUCCAGCUUUGUGAUUCACACAGUCUUUGUCACAUAGCUCUUGUCACCAUGUAUGACAUGUAGAAGAGAUUAAAGUAGAGUUAAUCUGGCUAUGAGUAGGGCAUUGCCAGUGUGGGAACUCCAAGGAGCACGUCUUUUAAAAUCCCCAUGCUAAUUCCUGGUGUCUCCCUUGUCUUUAGGCUCAAAGGAGUUGUUUGUUUAUUUGUUUGUUUGGUUGGUUGGUUUUAAUACUAAGUAUGUAUUCAGUACCACCUUUUUAAAUCUUGUCCGUCACCUUAUUGAAAAAUAACUUUUGGCACCAUGCCAUAUAAUUUCCUUUCUUCUGGUUUCAAUGUGACCAGCUUUUGAUGGUUUUUCUAAUUUUUUGUCAUCAGUGAAAUACUUAGGAAAUGGAAUCCCCUGUAGAGACAUAUGGGGCCGCACAGACACCUGGUGUGUUAGACAAAGACCCGAUGGUUCUUCUCCCAGCCCAGUUCUGCUGUCAUCAUGGACAGACCCCAUCCCUGGCCAUGCUUCUGUGGGGACUUUGAUGGCCUCACGGCUUGAAAGGCUUGAAAACUGCUCUCCUGGGGUAGAGCUUGCAUUCAGGGCCAUGCACACUCACCAUCCACCUCCUGAAACUACUCCUGCUAUCGUAGCUCAACUGCCUCCCAACUCCUCAGUCCCUGUGUUAGUCACCUGCCACAAAUUUCCGAUUAAAGAGAACUGUGACCUUUAUCGAGGAGCAGUAUUGCUAACAAUGGCUCCCACUCGGAAAUCACUGUCAGUUCUCUUCCCCUCCCACUCCAUUGCAGUUCUCAGCCUUUGUGGUUCUGCCUUUCUGUUGGCUACAUCCUCACCCUGAAAUAGCCCUAGCCCUAACUCAGCACUGCUGUUCUAGGAGAGCCUAGAGAAAAAGGACACUUCACCCUUCCUGCUACCAGACAUGGCUCUUGCACCACUGGUAUACGUCAUGUGCCUUUCCUAAAUCAAGGACAGUUAAACACAGAGCAGUACUAAGGACAUUUCAUGUUCCAGACUUAGACAUUGAAAUCAAACGGCCAACAUUUAGUGUUGUGUGUCAGCAACUGUGACUUGUUGGGUGUGUCACUUACCAGGUGUUGUCUGCUAACCGUCUUGGACUUUCUAAAGUGGCCCCAGAUAGAUGCUUGUGCAGUCAUUAUCCCUGCUGAGAAGGUUCCAUUAAAAGACCUGCUUGGAAGACUCUGUGCCAACAACUACAAGCUGCAGACAUGUUCACUGGGAGCUGGUUACAUUCAUGCAUUCACUUAUUACAUCAAAUCAGUAUAGAGGGGCCAGUAUGGAAAUACCAAAACAGCUCGUACUUUCUUCAUAAGGAAGGUUAUCAGUGCAUACUUAGGUUUUUUAUUCCGUUCAUUUAUGCUUCAAGGCAUUUGCAUCUUUCAUUGUUAUCCAAGACCCAAAGUGGAAUAAAACCUCUAACAUAAAUUUAUCCUUCUC
RNAcentral lists this long non-coding RNA (1868 nucleotides) under Mus musculus (house mouse). RNAcentral describes it as "long non-coding RNA chr7:131426273-131428141". The record is from RNAcentral. Lineage: Eukaryota; Metazoa; Chordata; Mammalia; Rodentia; Muridae.